RNAcentral lists this ribosomal RNA (564 nucleotides) under Lithoselatium kusu. RNAcentral describes it as "partial 16S ribosomal RNA". It matches the Rfam family "Bacterial large subunit ribosomal RNA", at positions 1831 to 2625 of the family's 2925-position model. The record is from RNAcentral. Lineage: Eukaryota; Metazoa; Arthropoda; Malacostraca; Decapoda; Sesarmidae.
GUCUAUUUGGAGAUAUAAGAAGUUUAACCUGCCCACUGAUAAAAAUUUAAAGGCCGCAGUAUUUCUAACUGUGCAAAGGUAGCAUAAUCGUUUGUUUUUUAAUUGGAAUCUUGUAUGAAUGGUUUGACAAGAAAAAAUCUGUCUUUAUAAGUUAUUUAUUGAAUUUAAUUUUUAAGUGAAAAAGCUUAAAUAAAUUAAAAAGACGAUAAGACCCUAUAAAACUUAAUAUUAAUUAUUUAUUUAAUAGAAUUUUAUAGUAAUAAAUAUUUAAUAAAUAGUUAUUAUUUUAUUGGGGUGAUAAUGGUAAAAUUAUUAUUAACUGUUAAUAUAUUUUAUAACAAAAAUUAUUGAAUAAAGAAAAUUUAAAGUAAAUGAUCCUUAUUAAAGAUUAAAAGUUUAAGUUACUUUAGGGAUAACAGCGUUAUUUUUUUUGAGAGUUCUUAUCGAGAAAAAAGUUUGCGACCUCGAUGUUGAAUUAAAAUAUCUAUAUAAUUGUAGUAGUUAUAUAAGAAGGUCUGUUCGACCUUUAAAUUUUUACAUGAUUUGAGUUCAAACCGGUGUAAG